RNAcentral lists this ribosomal RNA (550 nucleotides) under Pediococcus acidilactici. RNAcentral's name for it is "bacterial SSU rRNA". It matches the Rfam family "Bacterial small subunit ribosomal RNA", at positions 347 to 891 of the family's 1533-position model. The record is from RNAcentral. Lineage: Bacteria; Bacillati; Bacillota; Bacilli; Lactobacillales; Lactobacillaceae.
GGCUGCAGUAGGGAAUCUUCCACAAUGGACGCAAGUCUGAUGGAGCAACGCCGCGUGAGUGAAGAAGGGUUUCGGCUCGUAAAGCUCUGUUGUUAAAGAAGAACGUGGGUGAGAGUAACUGUUCACCCAGUGACGGUAUUUAACCAGAAAGCCACGGGUAAAUACGUGCCAGCAGCCGCGGUAAUACGUAGGUGGCAAGCGUUAUCCUGAUUUAUUGGGCGUAAAGCGAGCGCAGGCGGUCUUUUAAGUGUAAUGUGAAAGCUUUCGGCUCAACCGAAGAAGUGCAUUGGAAACUGGGAGACUUGAGUGCAGAAGAGGACAGUGGAAAUCCAUGUGUAGCGCUGAAAUGCGUAGAUAUAUGGAGGAACACCAGUGGGGAAGGCGGCUCUCUGGUCUGUAACUGACGCUGAGGCUCGAAAGCGUGGGUAGCGAACACGAUUAGAUACCCCGGUAGUCCACGCCGUAAACGAUGAUUACUAAGUGUUGGAGGGUAUCCGCCUUUCAGUGCUGCAGCUAACGCAUUAAGUAUCCGCCUGGGAUACCCCCACUG